UGGGGAAUAUUGCACAAUGGGCGAAAGCCUGAUGCAGCGACGCCGCGUGAGGGAUGACGGCCUUCGGGUUGUAAACCUCUUUCAGUAGGGACGAAGCGCAAGUGACGGUACCUGCAGAAGAAGCACCGGCUAACUACGUGCCAGCAGCCGCGGUAAUACGUAAGGUGCGAGCGUUGUCCGGAAUUACUGGGCGUAAAGAGCUCGUAGGCGGUUUGUCACGUCGUCUGUGAAAUCCUAGGGCUUAACCCUGGACGUGCAGGCGAUACGGGCUGACUUGAGUACUACAGGGGAGACUGGAAUUUCUGGUGUAGCGGUGGAAUGCACAGAUAUCAGGAAGAACACCGAUGGCGAAGGCAGGUCUCUGGGUAGUAACUGACGCUGAGGAGCGAAAGCAUGGGUAGCGAACAGG
This 409-nucleotide ribosomal RNA is filed under the name bacterium. RNAcentral's name for it is "partial 16S ribosomal RNA". It matches the Rfam family "Bacterial small subunit ribosomal RNA", at positions 355 to 776 of the family's 1533-position model. The record is from RNAcentral.